AGAGUUUGAUCAUGGCUCAGAGUGAACGCUGGCGGCAGGCCUAAUACAUGCAAGUCGAACGGCAGCACAGCAGAGCUUGCUCUGUGGGUGGCGAGUGGCGGACGGGUGAGGAAUACGUGGGAAUCUGCCCAGUCGUGGGGGAUAACGUAGGGAAACUUACGCUAAUACCGCAUGCGCCCUUCGGGGAAAGCCGGGGACCUUCGGGCCUGGCGCGAUUGGAUGAGCCCACGUCGGAUUAGCUAGUUGGCGGGGUAAAGGCCCACCAAGGCGACGAUCCGUAGCUGGUCUGAGAGGAUGGUCAGCCACACUGGAACUGAGACACGGUCCAGACUCCUACGGGAGGCAGCAGUAGGGAAUAUUGGACAAUGGGCGCAAGCCUGAUCCAGCCAUGCCGCGUGAGUGAAGAAGGCCCUCGGGUUGUAAAGCUCUUUUGUCCGGAAAGAAAAGCGCCGGGUUAAUACCCUGGUGUCCUGACGGUACCGGAAGAAUAAGCACCGGCUAACUUCGUG
This 509-nucleotide ribosomal RNA is filed under the name uncultured bacterium. RNAcentral's name for it is "bacterial SSU rRNA". It matches the Rfam family "Bacterial small subunit ribosomal RNA", at positions 8 to 507 of the family's 1533-position model. The record is from RNAcentral.